This is a non-coding RNA of Maylandia zebra (zebra mbuna), 268 nucleotides long. NCBI's taxonomy places the organism in Eukaryota, Metazoa, Chordata, Actinopteri, Cichliformes, Cichlidae. The record is from RefSeq and is a predicted model, not a curated record.
GGUCCCUCGGACCCUCCAGCGGAAACAAGAGACGAAGGCCGGAGCGGUCCCUCGGACCCUCCAGCAGAAGAGAUCACUAGGCCAGCCGUCAUGGAGGCCACUGGCCGACACAGAGGCGACACAGGAGCCUGAGCCGAGAGUGGCUGCUGAGCAGGCGACACUGGGAGCUGAGCUACUGGAGACACAGUUUUGAACAUGGUGGAAGUCACCGGAUACACCCAGGAUUGAAGAAAUAUGCCUGUGCGCUCACUUUGGACUCCAACACAGC